UUGAGUAUUCUAAGGCGCUUGAGAGAACUCAGGAGAAGGAACUCGGCAAAUUGACACCGUAACUUCGGAAGAAGGUGUGCCCUAUUAGUGUGUAGUGAACAACGAAGCAUGAAUGGGUUGCAAAAAAUCGGUGGCUGCGACUGUUUAUUAAAAACACAGCACUCUGCAAACACGAAAGUGGACGUAUAGGGUGUGACGCCUGCCCGGUGCUGGAAGAUUAAAUGAUGGGGUGCAAGCUCUUGAUUGAAGUCCCAGUAAACGGCGGCCGUAACCAUAACGGUCCUAAGGUAGCGAAAUUCCUUGUCGGGUAAGUUCCGACCUGCACGAAUGGCGUAACGAUGGCCACACUGUCUCCUCCUGAGACUCAGCGAAGUUGAAAUGUUUGUGAUGAUGCAAUCUCCCCGCGGAAAGACGGAAAGACCCCAUGAACCUUUACUGUAGCUUUGUAUUGGACUUUGAACAGAUCUGUGUAGGAUAGGUGGGAGGCUUUGAAGCAGGGUCGCUAGAUCUCGUGGAGCCAACGUUGAAAUACCACCCUGGUGUGUUUGAGGUUCUAACCUAGGUCCAUUAUCUGGAUCGGGGACAGUGCAUGGUAGGCAGUUUGACUGGGGCGGUCUCCUCCCAAAGCGUAACGGAGGAGUUCGAAGGUACGCUAGUUACGGUCGGACAUCGUGACGAUAGUGCAAUGGCAUAAGCGUGCUUAACUGCGAGACUGACAAGUCGAGCAGAUGCGAAAGCAGGACAUAGUGAUCCGGUGGUUCUGUAUGGAAGGGCCAUCGCUCAACGGAUAAAAGGUACUCUGGGGAUAACAGGCUGAUACCGCCCAAGAGUUCAUAUCGACGGCGGUGUUUGGCACCUCGAUGUCGGCUCAUCUCAUCCUGGGGCUGUAGCCGGUCCCAAGGGUAUGGCUGUUCGCCAUUUAAAGAGGUACGUGAGCUGGGUUUAAAACGUCGUGAGACAGUUUGGUCCCUAUCUUCCGUGGGCGCUGCAGAUUUGAGUAAGCCUGCUCCUAGUACGAGAGGACCGGAGUGGACACACCUCUGGUGUAUCGGUUGUCACGCCAGUGGCAUUGCCGAGUAGCUAAGUGUGGAAGAGAUAACCGCUGAAAGCAUCUAAGCGGGAAACUCGUUUCAAGAUGAGAUCUGCCGGGGCCUUGAGCCCCCUAAAGAGUCGUUCAAGACCAGGACGUCGAUAGGUCAGGUGUGGAAGUG
This 1211-nucleotide ribosomal RNA is filed under the name metagenome. RNAcentral describes it as "bacterial LSU rRNA". It matches the Rfam family "Bacterial large subunit ribosomal RNA", at positions 1672 to 2875 of the family's 2925-position model. The record is from RNAcentral.